CAGGGAACACAAUCGAUGCCGAUGUGGGCUCGCUAGAUCACUGUGUGUUGGAAGGCCGUGUAUUAUUGUGAGCAUUUUGUUUUCAGCGCCAGUUGCAUUUAGCUAGUAGUUUAAUUGUUUUGCUGAGCAUUCUCCUUCAAUUUGUUCUUAACCGUAUUGUGUCUGUUUUAAGUGGGUUAGAUUCACAAUUUCUGCAUGCUAUAGUGGUAUAGUAAUAUUUUAUAGUUUAUAUUUUUGUCCCUUUUUGUUUUCAAGGAUUUUUCGCCCCAUACAGAGGAUCGUCUUCAAAAAGACGAACGUUCCCACUCCAGCGCCGUGUUGGUGUUAUUACACUCACAACUUCUGCUGUCUAAAACGGAAAACCAUUUCCACGGUGCCGACUAGACAGCAGAAAAAGACGAAUUGAAUGUAGCAGGACUGGGGGAGAAAAGAAUCUCCUUUCAAGGUUGUGACAGCAGCUGUGAAGGAUUCAGAAGCCAGUUAUUCAAAUCUUAUCCCAAACUGAGUGAAGGUGGUGGAUUUGAACAAAUGAAGAUUUCAGGAUCUACGAGAAGCCGGAUCUAGGCUGUUAUUCCUUGCCCUAAUGAGGGGUACUCAGCAAAAUAUUUAAGGGACCCAGAAACCCAAAUUGUCUGCUGCAAUUCAUUUUGUAGGUUCCUGGACUGUCCUUAUCCACUGGGCCCCUGAUGAAGUGCCUCUUUUGUGAGAGACUUUUCUUUCUCAGAAAUAGUCACAGUGACAGCUGUAGCAGCAGUGAAGAAGACAAAAGCAUUAUACUGCAAUUGGCAUUAAGCUGGGAUCUUCCAGGGGUGACAGAAGAAAAUCGGCAUUGGCUAAUGGACAAACUCCUCCUUCACGCUAUGAUCCUUGAAAGAAUCACCUGGCCCACACUGAAUGUGGAGGAAGAUGAUGAUGAGGAUGACUGUUCUCUUGAGACUAAAUGCCGUAUCACAGGUGUAAGAAAGAGCGGUGUCGCCUUUAAGAAAUGGCGACGCCAUUUGAAAGACUACGCAACCCAGGAACCUUAGCACUAAUGGGCAAGGCGGGGUUUCUGGGUAUAAAGGGAAGUGGAGCAGGACAGCAGGGGGUGAUUUUGGGGAGCACCGCCAGUUUGUCCUGCUGAAUAGUUCCCAGAAGGUUGAGAGUGCAUUACGUAGUAUUGUAAGGUAAAGUGAACGUUUGGUUUCUUUUUUGAACAAGAGUUGUGUUUUGUUUAUACCGUGAGCGUUUUCCUCUUGGUGAGGUAGUCUUUUGUUUUGACAAAGUUUAAUUUAUUUUAUGAAACGUUGGUAGAUAAACGCUGCCUCUCGGUAGUUAAUUUAAAACAGUUCCGCAGUUUUCGUGACGAUUGGGAACCGUCACAACUGCCGUCUAUUUGUGUAUGUGUGUUUGACUCGGGACUCGGAGGGAAAGCGCGUAUUCAUGCGCUGCAGGAACAGCGGGCUGUAACAGAGAGAACUGAGGCAGCAGUCUGGUUUUCUGGACGUGCUUUAUUGUGACACACAUGAACAACAGUACCCACAGGUGGUGUGGACAGUAUGGAUAUUGUGCUUGAACUCGGAGACACUCCCGUGUUUCCGUGAACGACUGGGACGUCAGCUGCAGGGGUCCUUCCCCACAGCCUGGAUACAAUUCUUUAUCAACAGAGCCCUUCUUCUGGGAGGGCCCAUUCCAUACUUGCUUACGCUUACCUGUGUUACAGCAAGACUCCAGCAGAGGGAGUCUGCGCUAUCCUUGCCUGUGUUGCAGAGAUACUCCAGCAGAGGGUAUCUUCUUUGUUCUUACCUGUGUUGCAGAGAUACUCCAGCAGAGGGUGUCUUCUUUGUCCUUACCUGUGUUGCAGAGAUACUCCAGCAGAGGGUGUCUUCUUUGUUCUUACCUGUGUUGCAGCAAGACUCCAGCAGAGGGAGUCUGCGCUAUCCUUACCUGUGUUGCAGAGACACUCCAGCAGAGGGUGUCUUCUUUGUUCUUACCUGUGUUGCAGCAAGAUUCCAGCAGAGGGAGUCUGCGCUAUCCUUACCUGUGUUGCAGAGAGACUCCAGCAGAGGGAGUCUGUUCCACCCUUACCAGUGUUGCAGAAAUACUCCAGCAGGGGGAAGCCACUUCUGACUUGGAAUACAAAGCUACCCCGGCAGGGAAAGCCUACAUUGAACUUACCAGCGUACAGGACUACUCCAGCGGAGGGAGGUGGCCUGUACGUAACUGUGGACUGACCCACCUGGGUCGAAGGAUCCUUCCUGACACUUACCAGGCUCCUCAGCUAGAGUUUCCUGCUAAGUUCAUCCCAGUGGACUCAAUUCCACGGGGAAAGGACUUGCACAGGCCUCGGCCUGUAGAACUCGGUAUUCUGAAAUAGUUAGAGAGGGGCAAAGAAGUGAGCCAGUUAGUGACCCGUACAGGGCAAUAAUCUAUACAAAGAAAGUGUUGACUUGUUUAAAUAUUGUAAAUAAAAGUUAGUUGCCUGAA
Acipenser ruthenus (sterlet) is the source of this 2466-nucleotide long non-coding RNA. RefSeq lists it as uncharacterized. The record is from RefSeq and is a predicted model, not a curated record. The transcript has 4 exons. NCBI's taxonomy places the organism in Eukaryota, Metazoa, Chordata, Actinopteri, Acipenseriformes, Acipenseridae.